Molecule: ribosomal RNA, 411 nt
Filed under: Paracoccus sp. T30
Lineage: Bacteria; Pseudomonadati; Pseudomonadota; Alphaproteobacteria; Rhodobacterales; Paracoccaceae
Description: bacterial SSU rRNA
Rfam family: Bacterial small subunit ribosomal RNA
Source: RNAcentral
AACGCGAAGAACCUUACCAACCCUUGACAUAGCAGAACCGCCGGAGAGAUUCGGCUUUCUCGUAAGAGACCUGCACACAGGUGCUGCAUGGCUGUCGUCAGCUCGUGUCGUGAGAUGUUCGGUUAAGUCCGGCAACGAGCGCAACCCACGUCCCUAGUUGCCAGCAUUCAGUUGGGCACUCUAUGGAAACUGCCGAUGAUAAGUCGGAGGAAGGUGUGGAUGACGUCAAGUCCUCAUGGCCCUUACGGGUUGGGCUACACACGUGCUACAAUGGUGGUGACAGUGGGUUAAUCCCCAAAAGCCAUCUCAGUUCGGAUUGUCCUCUGCAACUCGAGGGCAUGAAGUUGGAAUCGCUAGUAAUCGCGGAACAGCAUGCCGCGGUGAAUACGUUCCCGGGCCUUGUACACACCG